RNAcentral lists this small nuclear RNA (332 nucleotides) under Cervus elaphus hippelaphus. It matches the Rfam family "7SK RNA". From Rfam's summary of the family: 7SK was discovered as an abundant small nuclear RNA in the mid-70s but a possible function has only recently been suggested. Two independent studies have found that 7SK RNA binds the CDK9/cyclin T complex (known as elongation factor P-TEFb). P-TEFb activates transcription by phosphorylating the C-terminal domain of RNA polymerase II. Lineage: Eukaryota; Metazoa; Chordata; Mammalia; Artiodactyla; Cervidae. The record is from RNAcentral.
GGAUGUGAGGGCGAUCUGGUUGCGACAUCUGUCACCCCAUUGAUCGCCAGGGUUGAUUCGGCUGAUCUGGCUGGCUAGGCGGGUGUCCCCUUCCUCCCUCACCGCUCCAUGUGCGUCCCUCCCGAAGCUGCGCGCUCGGUCGAAGAGGACGACCAUCCCCGAUAGAGGAGGACCGGUCUUCGGUCAAGGGUAUACGAGUAGCUGCGCUCCCCUGCUAGAACCUCCAAACAAGCUCUCAAGGUCCAUUUGUAGGAGAACGUAGGGUAGUCAAGCUUCCAAGACUCCAGACACAUCCAAAUGAGGCGCUGCACGUGGCAGUCUGCCUUUCUUUU